GCGACGAGAGAGACGUCGAUGCGGCCUUUCUCUGCAUUGCUUCGCGCUGCUUCUGUCUAUAUCAGGGCGGCAGCAGCUGAGGCAGUUCACAAAGUGACGUGUCGUCCCCCUUCGCCCUCCAUCGCAGUGCGGGGGACGUUGUCGGGCCGUCCCGUCCGGCAUGUGAUGUCGCAUGAACUACAUCGGUAUUUCCCCAAAGAGGAAGGGAUGAUGCAACACAACUACGGUAGGUAUUUCCCUCAGUUAUGAAAUCAAGGUAUCAAUUCAGUAGGAGAACCAAGCAACACUAUGUAAAUGGUAUCUGCACACAAAGAACAAAUACUUGCAACCUGACACUUAUGAGGGGUUGUCAAUCCCUCUAUGGGCAACGCAACCAGAAAUAGUCAAGUUGGCGGGAUCAAAUUUGUGUAGAUUGGAUAAAUAGAUAUCGAAAAAACGCGAAAUAAAAUCUCUACUACCUAAAAGAACUGUAAGGUUCGGUUUACCCUCUUACGUCUUACCUCUUCCGUCCACCUCCCCUUCCAACGUGCCCCUCGCCCUCACCUCAUCAAUUUAGGCAUGUUUGCUCCCAUAUCAAUUUGUUUCCCCAGUAAUCAAUCUUUCCCGUAGCCCUCUCGUCUAUCUCCUUAAUUGCCACAGAAAUCACUGGCUCUCCUUCCCCUAAUCCCUCCUCCCUGCUUCCAUCCUCCCUACUUAGCGAGCAACAAUGUGCUGAGGACCAGGACAUUUGGGCCAUGCAUUGGGAUCAAGUCCGAUUGCCGCUUCAUGCCACAAGUGACCAACGCACAACAGGUGGCUUGGCUAGGAGCUCGGCAUCCGGGGUACUCUCGAAGCAGAUCGACAACAGCCUGAUACGCUCGGUGUACCUAUAUCAGAUGGCGAGGUGGCUACUACGGAUGUUCAAGGGAGCAUUGCCUAGCAACAGGGGCCGCGACCACUGCUCCUUCAGCCCCACCAAAGAAGAGCAUGUGACACCAUGGCUGUGCUGGUGGCGUCCGCCACCAUACAUGCAUGGAGAUGAGGAGGCGAAUCGGGUUGUGGAGGGCGUGCGCCUACGAGCUCAUCGUCGGGAGGAGGAAUUCAAUGGGGUGUCAUCUAUAAAGAAGGCACGGCUUGGGGAUCCGCAGAUGUCGCUUUGGACAAGACGGUGUUAUACAGUGGGCCAGGUUGCUACCUUGUAACAUCCGGGGGUCUUCCAUCAGUGCGCGGAUGCAGAAAGUGAGAAUUCAGUACUCAUGUGCCUCUCCUAACUUCUGAAGAGCAUGAUUUUAUUGUCUAUAUGCCCCCAUAUAAGCAAAGGCACUCAUGUUCACAUGGCUUUUUCUAGGUUUUUUAUACAGAUUACAUAAACUAACUGAGCAACAUUGUUCAUUGUAUCUGCUUCCUGUAAUAAUGUCACCACAUAUUCUGGAGCAUGCAACACUUCCGGAAGAGAGUUGAGCACUCCCACACGAGAAUGAAAUGGAACACAUUUUCUCAGUGUA
Molecule: long non-coding RNA, 1484 nt
Organism: Triticum aestivum (bread wheat)
Lineage: Eukaryota; Viridiplantae; Streptophyta; Magnoliopsida; Poales; Poaceae
Exons: 2
Source: RefSeq, a predicted model, not a curated record